AUCCACAGAGAAUCGGAGUCAAAGCAAACCAGCAAGAUUGGCUCUGACCUUACACACACCACGGCGAGCUAAUAAUCAAGAAGCUGUUGAGCGGCAGGCGCGUAGAAAAAAUAAAUUGAAAAGCAGGUCCCCAAGCUGAGAUCCAAAGCUCCAACUCCGCACAGCCCCAAAAAAAAUAUCGAACAAAAGCUUAAAAAAAGAGCAGACAGCAUUUUCGCAUUUUGAGGUUACGCCAACAAACGGCAAGCGAGUAAAUUGCACAGCACAAGAAUCAACCUCAACCCCAAAAACAGUGUAAAAGAAACAGCUGUUGACCAACUCAAAAUUCGCUUUUUUCGGUUUUUGCAUAAAGCCAAAACUAUAAAAAAAAGAUUGAGGCGGAAAACCAAUAACAAAGUGUACAUCGAAUUAUCUUAAAUGUUGUGCCUUGGCAAAUGUUUUGAAAACGCUCAAAAAACGCUGCCUGAUUGAAGUGUGUGUUGCUGCGCGAAAAGGUUUUCUUGAUUUCGAAUGGACUUGUCUAGCUGUGUUUGCAUGUAAUUAAAAACAUCGCGAGGCAACAACUACAACGAGUUUAAUGAGACAUAAGUGAGAAUAAUUAAUCAGUAUUCGUUAAUUGCUUAUCGUUACAAGGUUAAUCAAUAAUGACCAAUUUUCAACGAAAUGAGUGUGUAGUGUGCUCGAGAAAUAGCAUACGAUCGUUCAAAUUAGUUAUCGUUUCAUAGAAACUAAGUUAACUAAGUUUAUUAAACAUAAAUCAGCUGAAUUCUGAUAUAUAUAUAUAUGCAAUAUAAAUUCAUUAGCUUAAAAGCCAGAAGAAACCGAUUCAAGAUCACUGAACCCUAGCGUUUCUAAGGUGAGCCGUACUUAAUUUAAUUCAAACCAGUUUUCAGUGGAAAUUAGUCAUUGAACCUUAGAUCCGUUCUUGAUUAAAAACUGGCCCAAAGGUUAGAGUUUGCCAGCUCGUUUGAAAGGCGCAGCAAAAAUACACACAUUCGAAUGCUUUUAAACCGGACUGAUACCUUUAAUUCACCUGGGACAUGUUUAUGUAAUUUAUAGAGAAGUAAAACUGGCACGUGUCAGUAAAGGUUAUAUAAGAUGUAGGGUUAUUUUUACUCGGUAGUAGCACAUUCAUAACAAAUUCAUCGUAUUUUCAAUAUAAUUCAGCAUUUUUAAGGAGAGUUCUCUUAAGACGUUCUCUUAAUUACUUGACAACGGUUUUCUUCAGCUUUUAAGACGUUUUAUCUGUAGAUCUACAAAGAUGGUCUAGUUUUUCCAUCCAUCAUCCACCCUCAACCUCUUCAAUCAUUCGAUCUGGCCCCAUAUCACGUACAUACAUACAUAUGUUUGUAUGUAUGUAUGUAUGUAUAGUUGAGCAGACCCAACAAAGUGGGGAAAACAAAGUCAAAGAGGAAGGUGAAGUGAAACCGAGAAGAGAAGCAGAACCAAGAAAUAUUUUGUUGUGUGUACUCAACUUGAAGUGGCACUUCAACUUCGUGUACGGCGUUCAACUCUUCGCUUAGGUGUUUUUUAUAUUUUUUUUUUAUUUUUGUUUUCCGUAAGCAGGGGAGUUGAGUGUUGUUGGGGCGGCGAGGGGGGUUGCCUUCUUAUUUUUGGAACAAACAUAAACAACGGCGAGCAAGAAAAACCAGUUCCACGGGGCGAAGGCUAGAACAUGUUGCACGUCGUACCGCCAAGCAGGUUGCCUUUGCCUCCGACACAGCUCCACACACAGCCAAACUGCUCCACAGCUCCAUAGGCUGAUAGCGUCUCCCCCAUUCGCAUUUGGAGCAUUGAGUGCAGCAGCCCAUACAGAAAAUGCUAUUUCGGGGCACACUCUUCGGCGUAUAUGUAUACGUACGUACGUACAUAUGGCACUCGUCCUCAAUUUGGACGAAGUCCGAAAACUCACACCCCUCUGAAUGACAUAUUUUCCAGGGUCGAGCCCCGCGUCGUCAGUCAGGAAGUUCGAUGAGAACAACAAUAACCGAAAGCGAACAGGAAUAUCCAGAUCGUGAUGCACUGAGCAAAUAAGGGUGGGCUAAGCUUUGAGUAUCUGAACGAGAACAAGCUCAUAAAAGUGCUGGCAAUGCGACCUUAUAAACAUAACACUUCCAUAAAGAUUGGAAGCCAGCUUUUUGAGCCAUAUGAUCACUAGUGUUGAGGGUCGAGCCUUCCGAAUCGGAGUGAUUGAACGCUUUCAAGGAUAUUUGUCAACACAGCAGCCGGAAAGCAGAAGGAAGCCGAAAAACAAAGCCAGUGGAAUGGCUCUUUGUUCCUCCGGCGAUCAGCAUAAUAAUAACUUUAAUAAGCAAAGUGCGUUCGCUUGUGGGCGUUGCUGGGGGGCACGGAAAUAGCGGGAGCGAGCGAGAGAGAGAGCGGCAUAUGGGCGGAGAAAGAGACGGGGCGAAGUGCUGCGGCAGGUGACAAUCGCGGAAGUAAAACGCCGCCGCUGACGACGUGAUUUCAGCUGUUAAAAUUCGCCGUCGUUAUUAACGUGUUCAGCAGCAGCGGCAGCGGCAACGUGGCCCAAAUGCAAAAACAACACUCGCAUAAAAUGGUUAAAAAUACUUGCUACGCAUUUGGAGCACUCAUCAGCUGGGCAAAAGCAGCAAAAACAACACAAAUAUGUAUUGACAAACAAACGGCGAGUGUCUGAGCCGAUAAGAUAAGGCAGCAACCCAAAAGGAAAUGAAUCGAAAUAAGUGCGGGGAAAAUGUGAAAAGCAAAGAGAUGGGAAAACCAAGCAAAGGUUCCACUAGAUUAAUUCUAUAAUUAACAAAAACAUAAACAUAGAUUCGCUGAACAGAAUUUAUUAAUACGAUUAUUUAUAUGGGCACCUAAACUUUGGCCCCGGCAGAUGUUUUUGUGGAAACAAUUCACUGAUAAGAAGGUUCUCUUGGAAAAUGAAAUCUACAUAAUUUGGACAUAUUUUUUUUUACUCACUAACAAGAAUGGCAUGAUUUAAAUCGCCUUUCUCUGUGCAAGUUGAAGUGCACUAGUAAUAUUUAGAUCAUUAACAAAGACAGGAAAUAGCACUCAAAUAAAUUGCAAAAUCUUUGUAUAUAAUGCAAAUAUACUAGCAGUUAAUUUAUGCGACCUUCGACUAAUCCAAUUGUCGUGUCAACAAGAA
Long non-coding RNA from Drosophila mauritiana, 3133 nucleotides. RefSeq lists it as uncharacterized. The record is from RefSeq and is a predicted model, not a curated record. NCBI's taxonomy places the organism in Eukaryota, Metazoa, Arthropoda, Insecta, Diptera, Drosophilidae. The transcript is spliced from 3 exons.